AGAGUUUGAUCCUGGCUCAGGAUGAACGCUAGCGACAGGCUUAACACAUGCAAGUCGAGGGGCAGCGGGGGCGAAGCUUGCUUCGCCUGCCGGCGACCGGCGCACGGGUGAGUAACACGUAUGCGACCUGCCCCCCGCAGGGGGAUAACCGGGAGAAAUCCCGACUAAUACCGCGUAACGCCGCUGGGCUGCAUGGCCCGGCGGCCAAAGGAAGCGAUUCCGGCGGGGGAUGGGCAUGCGGCGCAUUAGCUAGUCGGCGGGGUAACGGCCCACCGAGGCGACGAUGCGUAGGGGUUCUGAGAGGAAGGUCCCCCACACUGGUACUGAGACACGGACCAGACUCCUACGGGAGGCAGCAGUGAGGAAUAUUGCACAAUGGGGGAAACCCUGAUGCAGCGACGCCGCGUGAGCGAAGAAGUAUUUCGGUAUGUAAAGCUCUAUCAGCAGGGAAGAAAAAAAUGACGGUACCUGAGUAAGAAGCACCGGCUAAAUACGUGCCAGCAGCCGCGGUAAUACGUAUGGUGCAAGCGUUAUCCGGAUUUACUGGGUGUAAAGGGAGCGUAGACGGCAGUGCAAGUCUGAAGUGAAAGGCGGGGGCCCAACCCCCGGACUGCUUUGGAAACUGUGCUGCUGGAGUGCAGGAGAGGCAAGUGGAAUUCCUAGUGUAGCGGUGAAAUGCGUAGAUAUUAGGAGGAACACCAGUGGCGAAGGCGGCUUGCUGGACUGUAACUGACGUUGAGGCUCGAAAGCGUGGGGAGCAAACAGGAUUAGAUACCUUGGUAGUCCACGCCGUAAACGAUGACUACUAGGUGUCGGGGGACGACAGUGCCCCGGUGCCGGCGCAAACGCAAUAAGUAGUCCACCUGGGGAGUACGUCCGCAAGGAUGAAACUCAAAGGAAUUGACGGGGACCCGCACAAGCGGUGGAGCAUGUGGUUUAAUUCGAAGCGACGCGAAGAACCUUACCCGGCCUUGACAUCCCCACGGAUGCAGGGCAAUGCCUGCAGCCCCUCGGGGCGCGGGAGACAGGUGGUGCAUGGUUGUCGUCAGCUCGUGUCGUGAGAUGUUGGGUCAAGUCCCGCAACGAGCGCAACCCCUGCCCCUAGUAGCCAGCACGUGGUGGUGGGCACUCUAGGGGGACUGCCGGGGACAACCCGGAGGAAGGCGGGGACGACGUCAAAUCAUCAUGCCCCUUAUGGCCGGGGCUACACACGUGCUACAAUGGCGCGCACAGAGGGAAGCGAGCGGGCGACCGUGAGCGAAGCCCGGAAAGCGCGCCCCAGUUCGGAUUGCAGCCUGCAACUCGGCUGCAUGAAGCCGGAAUCGCUAGUAAUCGCGGAUCAGAACGCCGCGGUGAAUACGUUCCCGGGUCUUGCACUCACCGCCCGUCA
Molecule: ribosomal RNA, 1390 nt
Filed under: uncultured bacterium
Lineage: Bacteria
Description: bacterial SSU rRNA
Rfam family: Bacterial small subunit ribosomal RNA
Source: RNAcentral